This 637-nucleotide ribosomal RNA is filed under the name uncultured archaeon. RNAcentral describes it as "bacterial SSU rRNA". It matches the Rfam family "Archaeal small subunit ribosomal RNA", at positions 1 to 647 of the family's 1478-position model. The record is from RNAcentral.
UUCCGGUUGAUCCUGCCGGACCCGACUGCUAUCAGAGUGAGAUUAAGCCAUGCGAGUCAACGUAGCAAUACGUGGCAUACGGCUCAGUAACACGUAGUCAACGUAACCAAAGGACGUGGAUAAACCCGGGAAACUGAGGCUAAACCGCGAUAGAUCAAGAAACCUGGAAUGGUUUUUGAUCAAAAUCUAUAUGGCCUUUGGAUUGGACUGCGUCCGAUCAGGCUGUUGGUGAGGUAAUGGCCCACCAAACCUAUAACCGGUACGGGCUCUGAGAGGAGGAGCCCGGAGAUGGGUACUGAGAUAAGGACCCAGGCCCUAUGGGGCGCAGCAGGCGCGAAACCUCUGCAAUAGGCGAAAGCUUGACAGGGUUACUCUGAGUGACUUUCGUUAAGAAAGUCUUUUGACACCUCUAAAAAUGGUGUAGAAUAAGGGGUGGGCAAGUCUGGUGUCAGCCGCCGCGGUAAUACCAGCACCCCGAGUGGUCGGGACGAUUAUUGGGCCUAAAGCAUCCGUAGCCGGCCUUACAAGUCCUCCGUUAAAUCCAGCUGCUUAACAGAUGGGCUGCGGAGGAUACUAUAAGACUAGGAGGCAGGAGAGGCAAGCGGUACUCAGUGGGUAGGGGUAAAAUCCGUUGAUC